UUGAAACCCCCGAUUUGAUUUUCCGACUCCACAGAUAGUCACAAGACAUUUAUAUAGAUCUGCAACAAGUCGCUUCAUUUCUUCAAUUAUAUAAUAAUUUUCUUUAUAGGAAUGAUUUACACCAUUGUGGAGAGAUGACUCUGCUGCAACGCUGUGACCUCUAUAAACCCGCCAGAGCCAAAAAGGAUUGUGGAUCGACAUCCGAGCGACAAAGUCACUAUACACUCACCCACCAGUACCGACGACCUACCGGAGAAAGAAGUGCGCAGAUUUAAUGAUGAUAUAUUCGUCGUCAACCUUUGGUGAAAAGGAAGGCUGAAAAAGAUUUUAUUUAGAUGAAAAAGAAACCCUUCAAUAUAAAUAUGUCAGCUUAUUCUGCAAAACCAAUACAUAAACCAAUCACUAUACACCUAUACGGGGAGACAGAGUUAUUGCUAAAGUGUUCAUCUAUACGCCGUUGAAAUGUAUGAAUGAUACCCCAUUCAAAUUUCCUUGGCUAUAAUACAAAGUACACAAGCUUUAUUG
Harmonia axyridis is the source of this 525-nucleotide long non-coding RNA. RefSeq lists it as uncharacterized. The transcript has 2 exons. NCBI's taxonomy places the organism in Eukaryota, Metazoa, Arthropoda, Insecta, Coleoptera, Coccinellidae. The record is from RefSeq and is a predicted model, not a curated record.